AGUCCUAGCAACAGAUAAACAAUGCAAGGAAGCAAAGGGAGCUGAGAAGCUGUUCGGAGACCUCGGCUGUUUCUGUUGGAAUAAUGUGGAAUCUAAAGUCGUACGACAAGCCGGUUUUAUCUGGCCUGCUUUAAAACAAGACGCUCGGAGCCAUACAGAAGAAAAAAUGCAAAUCUGUGCUAAUUGCUAAAGAGAAAAGGAGACGAGGGCCAGUUAAUCAAGAAAGCUGCUUAAAGCAAUGCCAAAAUAACUCCACACCUCCUGACCUGAACAAACUGAGCACGCCACUAUGCAUCUGGCUUUCCACAGAAACUCAGCUGGGCUUUAAGGAUUGCUCUUAAGCCUGACAUGUUUGGCAGCAAUACAACUUAAAUGUGACAACACUCAUUUUAGAGAUCUGCUUGCAUUCAUAUACGGAGGGUGGUGCGGACGGACCAGUACAUCACUGGGGCCGAGCUCCCAGCCAUCGAAGACAUCUAUGCCAGGCGGUGUCUGAGGAAGGCUUAGGACUUUGGACCAACCACUCCGAGACAGCUUUUUUCUCCAAGCAGUAAAGCCUGCUGAAUAGUUAAUCAAUGGAUACCCACCACGGACUACUGAGAAGGGAAGUCCCACAGGGAGACAUUUCUGAGUUGUCUGAAGAACGCUGCACAUCUCUGGUUCUCCGGCUGACCUCGAUCAAGACACCCAUGUCGACUGGAUUCCUACUGUGAAGAUGAGCAAUGCUGCAUCAGUUUCUCCUUCACUAUGUUUUCCUUUUUCAGAUAUGAAAGGAGACAUCCCUCAGUUAUACAAGAUGGUUGACAUAUGCUGUGCUUUGGUCAAUCUGAAUGAUUAUGUUGUGCCAUUUGAGUAGAGAGCACUUUCACCUUGUUGUCAUGACAAAGGUACCCCCUUAAAUCAUAUGAAUAUAUAAAAUGUAAUUUGGAAAAACAUGUCAAAUCCUGUUGUUCAUUGUAAACAGACUAUACUUCAGUAAUAGGCUAUAUUGUUGUAUGGGUGAAAUUAAAAGUGUGUCAUCUCUGCUUUGCCUUGCCCCAUUGAAUAAAAUGUAUUUCUUAGAGCCUAACUAUGAUUUAUUUUACAAUUUAAACACAUUUAGCAUAGACAAUGUCAUUGUUGUGGUAGUAUUAGGCAAACCAUCUUCAUUAUCACAGUGGCAACUCCAAGUGCCAUUCAGACCUGGGAGAAAAAUAUCUGACAAUGAACAUGGUAGUAAUGGUUGUAUGUAUGUUUUAAGCUAAGGACCCCAUCUUCCUGUUUCCAGACAUUUCACUACCUAGAAUACAAUGGUUGGAUUUGCAUUAAACAAUUAAAUGUCGGCACAAGG
Molecule: long non-coding RNA, 1330 nt
Organism: Oncorhynchus kisutch (coho salmon)
Lineage: Eukaryota; Metazoa; Chordata; Actinopteri; Salmoniformes; Salmonidae
Exons: 3
Source: RefSeq, a predicted model, not a curated record